UGGGGAAUAUUGCACAAUGGGGGAAACCCUGAUGCAGCGACGCCGCGUGGAGGAAGAAGGUCUUCGGAUUGUAAACUCCUGUCCCAGGGGACGAUAAUGACGGUACCCUGGGAGGAAGCACCGGCUAACUACGUGCCAGCAGCCGCGGUAAAACGUAGGGUGCAAGCGUUGUCCGGAAUUACUGGGUGUAAAGGGAGCGCAGGCGGAUUGGCAAGUUGGGAGUGAAAUCUAUGGGCUCAACCCAUAAAUUGCUUUCAAAACUGUCAGUCUUGAGUGGUGUAGAGGUAGGCGGAAUUCCCGGUGUAGCGGUGGAAUGCGUAGAUAUCGGGAGGAACACCAGUGGCGAAGGCGGCCUACUGGGCACUAACUGACGCUGAGGCUCGAAAGCAUGGGUAGCAAACAGGAUUAGAUACCCUGGUAGU
Molecule: ribosomal RNA, 422 nt
Filed under: uncultured Oscillospiraceae bacterium
Lineage: Bacteria; Bacillati; Bacillota; Clostridia; Eubacteriales; Oscillospiraceae
Description: bacterial SSU rRNA
Rfam family: Bacterial small subunit ribosomal RNA
Source: RNAcentral